ACAGUCACACUAAUUGUGACUGGCAAGGGCCGGGAGGGAUAUAAAAAGGGCGCCGGUGGCCCAUACAGAUUCACUCUGCGGCCGACGGCGAGCGGAGAAGGUAAGGCUUACGCAUUGGUGACGCCCGCCGCCACCGCCGCCGGCCGCGACGACGACGCCGAACGACGACGCAGAAGUCCCCGGCAUCCUACGGGCGGACGAGCCCCAUGCAGCACGAACUCUAUCUAUCUAUGUACACGAUAAUUCUUAAUAAACGCAUACCGAUUCGAUUUCACUGAA
Drosophila gunungcola (fruit fly) is the source of this 279-nucleotide long non-coding RNA. RefSeq lists it as uncharacterized. The transcript is spliced from 2 exons. Lineage: Eukaryota; Metazoa; Arthropoda; Insecta; Diptera; Drosophilidae. The record is from RefSeq and is a predicted model, not a curated record.